RNAcentral lists this long non-coding RNA (411 nucleotides) under Vigna radiata. Its description in RNAcentral is "long non-coding RNA (VRAD_LNC000903)". Lineage: Eukaryota; Viridiplantae; Streptophyta; Magnoliopsida; Fabales; Fabaceae. The record is from RNAcentral.
GGGAGGUGCAUGCUAGGGUUUAUACCCUCAAACAGGGUUGUUAGGAGUUAGGAAACUUGUUAGGGGUUAAGAAAUCAUUAACUAUUCAUUACUUGCAUUUUGACUUUUAUUAAAUGAAGGAGAAAUACGUAAAUUUGGAGGUGUAGGGAGAAGGAGGUGAGGUGCAAGGAGCACUGCUCUUACGUGAGACAUAUCACCUUGAGGACAAGGUGAUUCUCCCAAGGAACAGUAAUGAUAGCAAUUCAAGCCCACAAGAAAAUUACAAUAAUACCAUCAGGCCCAAUGGGAAAGCUAAUUCAAAUAUAUCAAUAAGAACCCGUAGAUUAUCAAAAUAUUUAGUUGAUUAUAAAUUGUGAAGAAUGAAGGUGUUUGGGAAAGGGAAUAUUUUGUAUUAGUUAUCGGUUUGUUAAU